This 244-nucleotide unclassified non-coding RNA is filed under the name Hevea brasiliensis (rubber tree). The record is from RNAcentral. Lineage: Eukaryota; Viridiplantae; Streptophyta; Magnoliopsida; Malpighiales; Euphorbiaceae.
GAAAAAGAGUUGAAAAACUCAAAAGGAAAAAUUUUGGGAUAGCGUCGCGGCGCUGAAAUAUAAACGCAUAGCUCUGGACGCAUAGUAGCAUCGCGGCGCCGAGAUGGCGCUGCCUCGACGCAUCCUUGUUGAACGCAUGACAGCGUCGUGGCGCUAAUGCUCGAGAACAAUAUUUCUGAAUGCAUCACAAUGUCGCAGCACUUGAACGGCGCUAAAACCCGAGAGCAACAAUUUUGGAUGCAGC